Molecule: ribosomal RNA, 390 nt
Filed under: uncultured bacterium
Lineage: Bacteria
Description: bacterial SSU rRNA
Rfam family: Bacterial small subunit ribosomal RNA
Source: RNAcentral
GAACGGGUGAGUAACGCGUGGGCAACCUGCCCUAGAGAUUGGGAUAACUUCGGGAAACUGGAGCUAAUACCGAAUAAUGCAGCGGAUCCUUCGGGAUACAGUUGUUAAAGCGGGCUUCGGCUCGUGCUUUAGGAUGGGCCUGCGUCCGAUUAGCUUGUUGGUAAGGUAAAGGCUUACCAAGGCAAUGAUCGGUAGCUGGUCUGAGAGGAUGAUCAGCCACACUGGGAUUGAGAUACGGCCCAGACCACCACGGUGGGCAGCAGUAAGGAAUUUUGCGCAAUGGGGGAAACCCUGACGCAGCAACGCCGCGUGACCGAUGAAGCUUCUAGGAGCGUAAAGGUCUGUCGUAAGGGAAGAAAAGUUUAGAUGUAAAUAAUGUUUGAACCUGAC